GAGUUGGUGCUAUAGUGGUUAGAAUAGCUGCCUUGCAAGCAGUUGACCCUGGUUUGAGUACCAGCCAAUGCA
Molecule: transfer RNA, 72 nt
Filed under: Neotoma lepida (desert woodrat)
Lineage: Eukaryota; Metazoa; Chordata; Mammalia; Rodentia; Cricetidae
Rfam family: tRNA
About the family: Transfer RNA (tRNA) molecules are approximately 80 nucleotides in length. Their secondary structure includes four short double-helical elements and three loops (D, anti-codon, and T loops).
Source: Rfam by way of RNAcentral